RNAcentral lists this ribosomal RNA (580 nucleotides) under Glomeromycotina sp. RNAcentral's name for it is "eukaryotic LSU rRNA". It matches the Rfam family "Eukaryotic large subunit ribosomal RNA", at positions 110 to 629 of the family's 3401-position model. Lineage: Eukaryota; Fungi; Glomeromycota. The record is from RNAcentral.
CAAAUUUAAAAUCUACCUGGUUUYCAGGUCGAGUUGUAAUUUGAAGAUACGUUUUUGAYGUUCCGGGUUGAACUAAAUCCUUUGGGAUAAGGUAUCAUGGAGGGUGAGAAUCCCGUAUAUACCAACCRYAGGGAUGUUAUUUAAUACGUUUCUAAGAGUCGAGUUGUUUGGGAAUGCAGCUCUAAAUGGGUGGUAAAUUUCACCUAAUGCUAAAUAUAAGCGAGAGACCGAUAGYGAACAAGUACAGUGAUGGAAAGAUGAAAAGAACUUUGAAAAGAGAGUUAAAUAGUACGUGAAAUUGUUGAAAGGGAAACGAUUGAAGUCAGUCAUGCCRGUGGGAAUCAACUUAGAGGAAACUCUGAGUGCACUUYUUCGCUUGGCAGGUCAACGUCGAUUUUGGAUGUCAUAAAAUGAUUGGGGGAAGGUAGCUCYUUCGGGAGUGUUAUAGCCCUUGGUAGAUGUGAUGUCUGGGAUCGAGGAUUGCAAUGGAUACCCUUUGGGGCUAGYCGCCUGAUCUCUAAUYGGUAUUGGGUUACGGAYAGCAUGCUGACCGUGAUCUAAUUAUUGGUUAAAAGGUUAG